AGCGAACGCUGGCGGCAGGCUUAACACAUGCAAGUCGAGCGGGCACUUCGGUGCCAGCGGCAGACGGGUGAGUAACACGUGGGAACGUACCCUUCGGUUCGGAAUAACGCUGGGAAACUAGCGCUAAUACCGGAUACGCCCUUUUGGGGAAAGGUUUACUGCCGAAGGAUCGGCCCGCGUCUGAUUAGCUAGUUGGUGGGGUAAUGGCCUACCAAGGCGACGAUCAGUAGCUGGUCUGAGAGGAUGAUCAGCCACACUGGGACUGAGACACGGCCCAGACUCCUACGGGAAGCAGCAGUGGGGAAUAUUGGACAAUGGGCGCAAGCCUGAUCCAGCCAUGCCGCGUGAGUGAUGAAGGCCUUAGGGUUGUAAAGCUCUUUUGUCCGGGACGAUAAUGACGGUACCGGAAGAAUAAGCCCCGGCUAACUUCGUG
This 433-nucleotide ribosomal RNA is filed under the name uncultured bacterium. RNAcentral describes it as "partial 16S ribosomal RNA". It matches the Rfam family "Bacterial small subunit ribosomal RNA", at positions 29 to 507 of the family's 1533-position model. The record is from RNAcentral.